Molecule: long non-coding RNA, 215 nt
Organism: Myotis lucifugus (little brown bat)
Lineage: Eukaryota; Metazoa; Chordata; Mammalia; Chiroptera; Vespertilionidae
Exons: 2
Source: RefSeq, a predicted model, not a curated record
CACUUCAGCAUCCUCUAUGCACGGUGAUUACAGAGAAAACAAACCACCGCAAAUUCGGUGGGCGAGCACAAGCCGAGCUGAGGAAGGAGCCCGGGCUGCCCUCCGGGUCACCCUUUCCGCGGAGCCUUCGCUUACAGUGGUUCUCAACCUUCUGGCCCUUUAAAUACAGUUCCUCAUGUUGUGACCCAACCAUGAAAUUAUUUCCGUUGCUACUU